CUCAGCUUCAUCCUCAAUUGAAUCAUGGAGGUCCUUUGUUUCAUUCGUUAGAUUCUCAUCAUUCUAGUAUCGGUUCUCAGGUGAAGUUCAUGGGUCCAGAAGGCUUGGUCUAUCAUGAUGCCCCACCAAAUCAUCAAUUAUCUGCAAAUAUGCUUCGUCCUCUCCAUCAUCCUAGCAGUGGACUAACUGGAUUUGAUUCUCCAAUUCAUCAUCCUAUGUUACAACAAAUGCAUAUGCCUGGAAACUUUCCUUCACCCCACUUGCAACGACGGAUUCCUGGUGUUGCACCGCCAGCACCUCAUUCAAAUAAUCAGAUGACUGGGUUACAGGAAAUGAAUCCAAUGCAUGGUUUUCAAUUGGGGCAUGGUCAACGGCAGCCUCAACCCAACUUUGCUGGUCUUGGAAUGCCUCCAGGUAAAGUAUUUAAUACAUGUCUUGUUUCUUUCUCAUCCUUGCCAAUUUCAACUUUGGAAAACCUGCCCGCCCAUUUCAUUCUUGGAAAUGCCUACAGUUAGACUUAGUGUUACAGAUUGUUUUAAGGCUUAAAGUGAUUUAAGAAGAAUGAUAAUUACCAUGCCAAAACCUUAUUGCAUGUAACUGCAAACUGUUUACUUCAUCCAGGACCCCCCAAUUCUGCUGGAAAAAUGAAAAGAAAAUUUCCGGCAAUCUGUUGUCGGUUGUCUUGUUUGUGAACUGCUGUUACCAUAAUGAUUACAUUUCAUGUUCUAUUUGCGAAUACCAUGUACAUUAUUAUUUGUUUUAUGUUUCAGGUCAUGACGUUGGCAGUGGGAGCCAUCAUCCAGAGGCAUUGCAGAGGCUUAUUGAGAUGGAGCUCAGGUCAAAGUCGAAGCAGCUGAGCCCUUUCGGUGCACCCAGCCAUGGUCAAGGCCAAGGGAUGUAUGGCCACGAGCUAGACAUGGGUUUUCAGUAUAGAUAAUGACAUUUGGUUGUAGUUUUGCCCUAUCCCUACUAGAUUGUUUCUCUCCGAGAAUUGAGGAUAGGUUUGAUGUUCUUAAUUCACGAGGGAUUAUUGUGGCUCACUGUAACUAAAAUGAUCAUUAUCAUACUUGCUAUUGGCUGUUGGUUGCAAUUUGCCCUUUUAUGCUUUGUGUAGUGUGUUUUUCUUUCCUUUAAGGGUUAAAUCACAUUUUAGGUUUGAACUCGGCAACUAUUUUCAUAUUGGGGCCUGAAUAUCUUUUUUGUUUCAAGUUAGGUCCUGAAUUUGAUAAUUGUUCUUACAUUGGAGUCUGAACUUUUUUUUAGUUCAAGUUAGACCUUGAACUUGGCAAAUGUUCUAACAUUGGGAUUUCAAAUUUUUAUUAUCCAAAUUUGUUUUUGAAAACUUUAAAGUUUAAGUCUCAACUUGGGAAUAAUUGUCAAGUUUAAGCUUCAAAAUGAGAAUAAUUAUUAAGUUCAAGGUUUAACUUGGACAAAAACAAAUUUAAAAGUUCAGAUAUCAAUAUGAGAAAAAGUAUCAAGUUCAGGUCUAAAAAAGUAAUUUAACUUUUCGGAUAUUAUUCUAACCGAAAAAUUCUUAACGAACUGAAAAAGAUUGAUCCAAACCUUACAAUUUAAAUCUUUAUUAUUCGCAUAUAGAACCUUCUAAUGUAAUUAUCCAGCUGAUCUCUUGCAUAUGAAUUAAGCUAAGACAUCCAAAAUUCUCCUGUAAUCAGAUCUUUGAUGAAACAGAUGAAACACGGCCAUGGAAUCAGGUUUUCUCAUAUGUCUAUUUGUGCAUGCAUUCUGGAUUCUUCUCUGCACUAUGGAUAUCUUAUCAUCAAAUACAAACAGCACCUGACCCACCUUAAAUUUUUGGUGCUUCUUCACUUCAGCCCGCUUUUUGUCCUUUUCUUUCUCGGCCUUGCAGUUCAGUUCCCUGAUUUGUUGCCCAGUAUCUGAGGUGAUAAGCUUUGGGUGCAUAGUUUUCUCAGCAUCCGCUAUGGGGUACAUUUGAAAUGAGAAAGAUCUUACGAAAGAACAUUAGAGUUAACCGAGUCGUAUCGAGGCUUACCUGUUCUGAAAGUCUGAUUAAAUCGCAUAUACAGAUUCGUUCCACAACACUAACAAUUAAAUUCGCAUAAGAGGAAGUAUAAAUUCAUUACAAAUAAAAGGACCAAGUAGCUAGUAUUUCACCAAGGAUAACCUCAGCUCGACAUCAUUGCUUAUAUUCUUCAAAACACAUUUGGCUACUACCAAAACAUAGAAAAAAAGCAGAAAUGAAUGUACUCACAUGUAAUUGCAGGAUCCUCGUGGUAUGAUCAACAAGCAGGGUAUCAGAGUAUUCUCUAAUCUCAGCCAACUUUUUCUGCAAAGGAAUUUUCAGUUGAAUCCCUCUUUCUCCUUCAUGCAUAACCUUUCUAGAUGUUUUUAUUUGGAACUCGGCUCAACCAACAGCGGUGAUGUUAGAGAAGGUACCUGAUACCCUUUUCCUUUUACUGUAGGGAAGGGAACCCCAACCCCAUUAAAACGUUUGAAAAAUGAUGUGCAAAAUGGUUAAUCCCAAAGUUGGAUCAAAUAGCCUCUAAUCCCUGUUUUAGUAGACCAUUGAUGAUCACGCUCAGGAGCCAGGAUCUCAUAAAACAACGAGAGGAAUUGUUUAAGCUUGCCAGAAGUAGUGAUAAUAACGUAUAAUAUCAUUUAAGCCUCUAAAAAAUGAUAAUAUUGUAAAGGUUAAAAAUACACUCCCUGACUCUUUGUAAAUUUAGAAUUUAGUUUCUAUACUUUUUACUUUUAAAAAUUUAGUCCUUUUACUUUUCAAAAUUCAAAAUUCAAGUCUAACUGUUAACAAAGUUAAAAUUAGUUUGUUAGAUUCAAAUUUAUUACAAGAUUAUUUUUUCAGUUAUAUUAUAUGGUUAUAAAAUUGAUUUUUUUUAAAAAUUUUAAAAUAUCAUUUUAAUAAAUUAAAAAAAUUAACAAUAUUAAUCAUUAAAUCUGAAUUUUAAAAUUUUAAAAUUUGAAAAAUAAAAAAUUAAAUUCUAAAUUUUUGGGAUUUAUUGCAUAUUUUAAUCUGAAAAUUAGAGGAGGCAUUUGUUAAUUUUUUUACGCUUGUAAAUUUCAAGUUUUAGGUUUAUGCUCCCACGCGCGCGCAAGAGGAGUAAAGGAGCCAAUGAAAUUGGAGCGUGUAGAAAACGAGACGCAACUUCCACGUUAAUUAUUGUUUCUUUGUUUGUUUAGCGUAGGGAAAGGUAGAGAACGUCGUUCUGAAAGAGUAAAUUGGCGCAGGCAGAGAGAGAGAGGCAUUGCCAGUCGCUGUCUCUCUCAAAGGUCAAAACUUUCUCUCUCCAACCCCAAAAACACGCUACUUGCUUUCUCUCUCUAUCCCAUCGAUUCAAUUUCUUUGAAAAAAGAAGAAGCUUACAGAUCGAAACCUUAACUUUCGAUCUCUCUCACACAAUUCCUUCGAUCGAGGUAGCUCGUUUUCAUUUUGAUUUCUCUAUGUCAAGAACAAAACCCUAGUUUUCUCUCUGAAUUUCCGCAGUUUAGCACAAAACCCUAGAAAUUCUCAUUUCGAUUUAAUUAGUGCUUUUAUUUGAUUCAAUACUCGGAAUGAUAUAUAUGUUUAGGAGAUGCUGAUUUUUCUUGUAAAUAUCCUUUUGGUUCAGAUCGGGAAAAAAUGAUCGUGUUUGGUUUAGGGGAUUCCCGGAUAGAAGUUCUGGUGGCCGCAAUAGUGUAAUAUUUUGUUAGUCAUUUGGGUUUUAUUGUAGAUUUUCUCUUGAUAAAAGAAUGGAGUAGCCUCAUAUCAGCUGUAUCUUCAUUUAGGGAUCUUUGGAUAUGGAGUUAAUUGAUGAUGGCGACGCCUUAAUCUGGGAGAAUUUGGGAACUCUGAUUGGAAUAAGAUAUAUGGGAAUUGGCUUAGCAGAUUCAAAAAUUUGAGUUCUUGAGUAGUGAAUUUUGCGGGGAGCUAAAUAGAGUUAAAACUGUUAAUGAGUAUUUAGUAUAUUCUCAUCUUUGAAUUUCUGUAGAAAUGAGCUUAGAAAAUGAAGGACAGCAUUCCUUAGAUCAGCCUGCGGAUACCAGUAAGGAACCUCAAAAGUAAUCACUUCGUUCGGAUGAAUAAUUAAUUUUUCAAUGUUUUGCAUAUGUUUUUUGUUGAGUGACGCUGAUGCCAAUUUGUUUUUAAUGACUCAGGAAACCAAGAAUUUCAUACACCAGAGACUUUUUAUUGUCAUUGAGUGAACUGGAUGUUUGCAAAAAUUUACCCCUGGGUUUUGAUCAUUCAAUUUUGAGGUGAGAUUCUUUUUAUGUUCUUGGAGUGUGUCUUAAUAAAAUUGUGAAGAAGGCAAACUUAGAUCUUUUUGGUAUUCAUUGGUAUGUGGUUGGAGCAGUGACUUUGAGGAUACAUCACAAGAUCGGCAAAGAAUUCCUGGCACCUUGUCAGGUUAUAGACGUAAUGAAUAUAGUUCUUCACCACCUACAAGAGGAGACUAUUCCCGGGGCAUUCAUGGACGAUGGGACAGCCGUUCUAGUGGAAAGAAUGAUAGAGACAGUGAUACCCAAUCUGAUUGGGACUCUGGUAAUGUUUAUAGUUCUAUUGUUCUAUUCAUGGUAUGAUUUAUGUUUACUGUUUAUACGGACUAGUAUGUAUUGUGCUUUUUGUUAACACGUGUGGUAAUUCACUUCAUUGCCUCAACCUCCAUGAUGCUUGCUAAAGCCAUUCUUGUAGUUGGGGCUUUUUUCCACUUCAUUUAUGUGCUGCAUACAGCAUCUAAAAAUUGUAUUAUGUUGGAAAUUGAAUGAUUCUAAUGCUACAUAGAUCAUGGAAGACGCCAUGGUAAUCAAUCCCGGCGGUCUUGGCAAGGUCCUGAUCAUGAUGGGCUUUUGGGGAGUGGUUCUUUUCCUAGACCGUCUGGAUAUAUGGCAGGAGCUUCUGGUCCAAAGGUUCGAGCUAAUGACCAAUACCAUCUUAAUAGAAGUAAUGAGCCAUACCAUCCCCCUCGCCCUUAUAAGGUACUCAUUUGCUUUUAGUUGUCAUUUGCAGACAAUAUUGGGACUAGCAUCAUGAUAGCUGUUUUAUCCAUUUUAGCAUAAAAGUAUUAAUUAUUCUGCUUAAAUUAUAUCUGUCUGUAAUGGUAAGAUGAUCCAGUAGCAAUUGAAAUGCUGCUUUAAUAGGUGUUAUUCUUUUCAGGCUGUACCUCAUUCAAGGAGGGAAACUAACGACUCAUAUAAUGAUGAAACAUUUGGUUCCACUGAGUUCACUAGUGAAGAUAGAGCAGAAGAGGAAAGAAAGAGAAGAGGUAGGUUCUCUUUUGUAGAUAACUCUGCUGAUUGUAGUUUAUCUUGUAUUUGUUCUAUCUUCUUUUCUACUCUGGCUUUCUUUUCGAAUAAUAAAAACUGAAGCAUGAUCACUUUCCCUCUUAGCUUCCUUUGAGUCAUGGAGGAAGGAACAACAUAAAGCUUUCCUGGAGAAGAAGAUUAAUCCUGAACGGCGUAAAGAUGACUUCGAUAUUUCUGAAUUGCUAAAGGACUUCAAAGGUGAUAAAGGAGUUGCAAAUAGAAACAAGGAAUCGGAUGAACCUAUUCCAGCAUCAAAUAUUUUUUCUGACAAAACUUCUCUUCACUCACAAACUCCUGCAUCUAGGCCACUUGUACCACCUGGUUUUACGAGCACAGUUUUGGAAAGGAAUGUUGGAACCAAAAGUUCAAUGCACUCCCAUUCUUCACAGGUAGGUACUAAAAUAGUUUUCAGGAUUUAAAACACUCAUCAUGUUCUCUGUUGUACCUUCUGGUAUCUAAUUUUGCCAUCAUAAGUUUGUAAGUUCUCAUCCUUUUUGCCAUUGUGAUCUUAAAUUGCAACCAACUGUUUACUCUUCAUGUACCUGUUACUUCUAAGUUUUUUGUUCUCUAGCAACGUUUCCAUUAAAAUUGUGUUGCUUCCCAAUUUAUAAAGGUAAUUUUGAAUUUCCCAUUAUCUUUUUUGGAAUAGGGAGGAGCAAGUUUAUCAUUUAAAAUUAGUGUGUGAAAAUGGCCAUCUGUUAUUGAAGAUGAUAUAUAUAUUUUAAGUUAUUUAAUGGAAGUACAGAUUUGACAGAGGUUACAUUGCACUGUGACGUGUGUUUUUUCCUGUUCCUUGUUUUAGCCAAUCUGUUAUUUUUCUGUUUGGAGAGCUGAAAUAUGGCGUAUUGUUACCUGGUGGUUGUUGCUUGCAUGUAGUUUUCAUUCAGUGGUUGUACUUUUCUUAUGUUGUAACUUAGAGCUGAUGCCAUUCAGACAAAGCAUGUUUCAAUUAUAUUGACAGAUGUUGCUUCUCAUAUUUCACAUACACUAUUUGCCGUUACACUUUAUUAGGUAUUGAUCUUCUGGUAUGCUUCUAUAGGUUGGGAGUUCUGAAAUUGAUGGCAACCCUUCAGAGUCCAAAGGCAGCCUUCUUUUAAAUGGGAUUUCUGAUGAUCUUUUGGGCAAACAUUCUAAACAGUGUGAAGAGGAAACUUUGAGUGAGCAGAGGCUUGAAAGUAAAAACAUUCACCUUUUAGACAAUAUUAGGAGUGUGAAGGCUCCAAAUACCCCAUCAGCUUUAGAUAAAUUUAAUGACACAAUAAGCAAAGAUUCCCAAAUAUACAAGAGUUCUAGUCUUUCAGAAGCCUUUAUAGCCCCUGGGAAUGGUGAAGUUACUGAACUUGAUUCCAAGAAGCUGGUUGCUGAUAAAAUUGUGACUGAAACCAACCAGGAUGGUUCAAUUUCAAUUCUAGACAAGCUUUUUGGAACUGCUGUAACAUCAAAUGGAGGUGGCUCCACUAAUAUGACUGCGGUAUUAUUUUGGUUUCAAGACAUUGGUUUCAAAUUCAAAAACAUAUGUCAAAUACAUAUGCUCCGUAUGACUUAGAUGUUCAUUUUUAAUUCCCCUGCUUAAAGAAAUUAAAACCUGGUUGAUCAAUAAACCAUACAUCUUAUCUACGUAUAGUUUAUUUAAGUAUUUUAUAUUUAUCCUUUUACUCCCUGUUUUCCUUGAAGAAAUGAUUAACAGCCUUUAAUAUCUCUUUUUCUUCAGCCUAAUGACGGCAACACAGAUGAGACAUGGGCCUCUGACACUUCGCAUUCUUCUAAGUUUGCUCAUUUGUUUCUUGAUGAAGGUUUGUUGGCUCUUGUUCAUCAAGUAAUCUGGCUUUAAGUGAAUCUGCUUCGUUCUCAAGUAAGAAGUAUGAUCUAAUAUUCUUUUCAUCUUGUCAUCGCAGAGAAGAAGCCUACAGAUGAUUUCUCCCUUGGCAGGCCAAAAGACUUGCUCUCUUUUAUUCAGGGUGGUGAAAAAGGUGGUUCCCAUGAUAGGAUAGCUAAUAAGCAUGUAGAGGCAAACUUUCCAUUUGAAAACUCUGAACUUGUGGACAGGCAUGCUAUAUCAAAUUUGAUGUCUCCUAGAAUUGAAAACUCUGAGCAAUCAUGGAAUAUUAAGGAUGUCAAUAAAUCAGCAGCAGUUCCAACUGUCCUCACAUGCGAGGAUCUUGAAAAGUCAAUUCUGUCCGAAGGCACUGAAAAUGAUCCGAGGUUGCCUCCUGCUAUUGAAGGACGGAAAAUUACUGAUGCCAAAUGUGAAAAGCAAGAAGUUAUUGACAAUCAUGCAUCCCAGCACCUUCUUUCAUUGUUACAAAAUAAAACAAGUGUGAAAAACAUAGUAUCACCGUCCAAUCUCGACGUCGGGUCUUCAGAAAGGGUACACACUGUUGAAACAGCAAGGGUUGAUAUGGCACCUUGUGAUUCAAUAGACACAAAUGCAGAAAAUGCUUCCAGUUCAGGGAAGAGUCUAACUCUUGAAACACUUUUUGGAAGUGCUUUCAUGAAAGAACUACAAUCAGUUGGAGCACCAGCUUCUGUUCAAAGGGGCUCAAUGGAUUCUGCAAGAGUCGAUGUAUCCAAAUCUAACUGGCUUCCCCCACAUGUUACAGAUGACAGUCUUCUUCCUUCUGCAGGUCACAUUGUGUCAAACAGGACUAAUUUUGAAAAAAAUAUUUUACCUUUUACCCAGAGAGAGCGAAUGAAAUCUGAUGGCAUUGAAGAGCAUUUGUUAGGCUAUAAUGAUGCUCCAUCCGCAGCGGAUUCAUCACAUAUACGAGCUGGAUUAGGAUCUAAACUUGGUGGUUUUGAUGGAUCUGCUGAAAUUGGACUUCCUGAAGAGGAUAGUUUGCUUGGUGUCAGUAAUCCUGUGAAACUCCAGAAUUUCAUGGCUGGUAGUGCAAAAUCAGAGUUACUGCCCUCCCAAGAGACACCGAUUGAUGUUGCUGAGAAGCUAGCAGCUUUAAAGGCCAUCUUCCAGGAUGAAAGACCUCUGGUAGGAGGGAAAGAAGGUCCCAUUUUUCUUCCUGGUUCCUAUGACAUGAGGGAUCCAGAUAUUCCAUCACAAAAUGUCCAACCAUCUUCUCCACUGCUUCGUCCUCAAUUGAAUCAUGGAGGUUCUAUGUUUCAUCCAUUAGAUUCUCAUCAUUCUAACAUCGGUUCUCAGGUGAAGUUCAUGGCUCCAGAAGGCAUGAUCCAUCAUGAUGCACCACCAAAUCAUCAUUUACCUGCAAAUAUGCUUCAUCCUCUCCAUCAUCCUAGCAGUGGACUAACUGGAUUUGAUCCUCCAAUUCAUCAUCCUAUGUUACAACAAAUG
Molecule: long non-coding RNA, 8578 nt
Filed under: Gossypium raimondii (Peruvian cotton)
Lineage: Eukaryota; Viridiplantae; Streptophyta; Magnoliopsida; Malvales; Malvaceae
Description: long non-coding RNA (GRAI_LNC005169)
Source: RNAcentral